UCUCAAGCCAAAGUUACCAUCUCUUGAUGAGAAUAAAUGUUGAACAAAGGUAGAUUACUUUGAAGUGGAUUUGGUUUGUUUUGGCUGCUAUUUGGUGUCCUUGUAGGUUCGUGGAGAUUACUCUGAAGAUGUUGGCACAUAGGUAUUUUUACUUGAAAAAGUGAUAUUUACUCUUUCCAUCCCUGUAUAUAAGCAUCUUUUGCUUUUCUCACUUUUAUUAAGAAAAGUUGGAGUAUGUACUAUGUAGUAAGUUUUGCGUUUUCAUAUUCCAAGACACUUAAUGAGGGGACAAAUUUUUAGUUAAAUAAGUGAUUAUAUUUAGGGACAUGGAAGUUUAUUUGAAAAGAGGAGGUAAGGGAAGGAAAUUUCACUUUGCUCUUCUCUUUUCAUUGUUUUAUAUACUUGCAUAUUUGUUCUUUGCAGAACUCUAUAUUGAACAUAAUAGUUUGCUCGAAUUCGGCUUUGUUACAUUCUAAUAGCGCCGUAUUGCAAAAUAAGAACUAUUUGUUCGAAUUCUGCUAUGCAAUAGCACUGAUAUUUUACCACACUAGUACUGAAGAUGUUUAAAUCAAAUAUAAAUUUAACAUUUUGAAUUGCACAUCACAGUAGUUGACAUCCUUGAAAACAAAGAGAUCAAAGUUUAACUUCACUUGAGAGAAUACUGAACAUAACAACAUCUAUACUUUUUCCCUUAAAGAACAGAUAUUUUCUGAGAACACCUUCCCUUUCAAAACCAG
Molecule: long non-coding RNA, 737 nt
Filed under: Medicago truncatula (barrel medic)
Lineage: Eukaryota; Viridiplantae; Streptophyta; Magnoliopsida; Fabales; Fabaceae
Description: long non-coding RNA (MTRU_LNC007781)
Source: RNAcentral